Long non-coding RNA from Notothenia coriiceps (black rockcod), 1966 nucleotides. RefSeq lists it as uncharacterized. NCBI's taxonomy places the organism in Eukaryota, Metazoa, Chordata, Actinopteri, Perciformes, Nototheniidae. The record is from RefSeq and is a predicted model, not a curated record. The transcript is spliced from 3 exons.
UCCAAAACGUGUAUAUGGUCUGUGGGAGCGUAAUAACCCCUGAGCCAAAUUCAGGAAACUGGCUACAACAUCAACAAACACGACAGAUAAACAUGAUGGGACAUUCCGCCGGUCGCCGUGGAAACGCUGAGAAAGCACAGCUGGACGGGAGAAUAUGAGACAGGCCAGUGUCAUGGCAGCCAGAUGGAUGGAGUGCAUGGAGUCUGGUCGUUUGUUCAGAGCCCGGACAAACUGGAAGUUGAGGAUCCCACCAAUCAGACCACAGAUACAGCAUGCCGAAAAUAGGAUCAUCUGGGGGACAGGGAGAAUGGUUUAUGUCAAUGCAAACAGCAGAAUUGAUAUCUUCUCCACAAAACUGUAAACAAACUGACAAAAAGUGAUCAGAUGGGAGAUAUACAAGCUACUGUUGAGAUUCAUCUCCAUCAUUUUCUGUUUUGGACGACGGCUGCUCUGAUGAGUAAUGCGUAUCAGUCAAAAUAAAUCUAAUUUCCUAUUAGAAAAUUGGAUCGCUCUCAAAGCAUACUGUCUCUUCCAGAAAUAUUGCACAGCUUGUAAAUAUGCUUGCAUCACUCACUUGUGCUUUUGUGCUUGUGUUUGUGUGUCUGAUUUGUGUGUGUUAGACAGUACGUGAGAUUUUCCAUUCAGUGUCUAAUAAAUCACAUUUUAUGGAUUACCUUAGAAAAAAGCAGUUGGAAAAUUCAAACUCAGUAAGAGUAUCCAAUUUCCCUCCCACCAGGAUGUGAUGGGAGAAUGACUGCAGUCGCUUUGCAAUCAGAAUAAUAAAAUCCAAUCGAUUCACUUCUACACGUUUAUUGUGCAGGCAUGCUUGUGUUUGUGUGAGUGUUGUGUCAGGAGUUCAGGUUCUCUUAUUGCUCCCAGUAGAGAUGCCUUUAGUGCCUUUAACCACAUGGAAAAAGGCUUCUCCAAUUUCAGUCAUUACUCUGUAAAGUGUGGAAAGCGGCUGGCAGGACUCCGGAGCAAAACCAACAUAAUGCAAUCAUCACCCCACAGGCAAACAAGGAAGGAGGAGAUGGAGAGAGUCAGAGCAUCGAAACGACCGGGGAGGAUGAGAUUGGACAGAGAAGGUGGAGAGAUGAGAGCGAUGAAAAAGGGAAAGUCACGAGGAUACAAGGAGGACGACAGAGACAAUAGGCGGGGAUGGAUAGGGUGAGACAGAGGGAGAGAAAGGUUGAGGGAUGUCUCUGUUACAGCAGAUUGUGCUGACAUUGAUCCAUCAUUAGUGCCCUCCCUGUAGGAGAGGCACAGAGAGGCUGCGAUGGGAUCACUAUGUAUAAAAGAUGGAGGGAACGACAGAAAGAGAAGAGGAGAGGUGACUGUCUCCUCGGAUUUCCGCAAAUGUCUUUUUCAGAGCACACUGUAGGCCUACGCACCUGCAGGACAACGAGCACCUUUGGGUGUUUCACAUGAUCAGACAGCCAUCACUUGUAAACUUGUAAGGGAAUGUACUCAGGCCUUGUUUGUACAGUCAUUGUCCAAUUUCUAACUCAUGUUUGCUCGUUCGUGAGUUUGUUGAUGAGAAGGUUAAUAGCUCCCAAAUCUGUUUGUUAUAUAUGAAGCUAGCAGGUGGUUAGCUUAGCUUAGCAUAAAGCCUGGAAGCAGGGUGAAACAGCAGCACUGUGAAGUUUACUCAUCACAACUGUAUAUUUCAGGGUUAUUUGCCAGACUUUUCAUAGGACAGUAUCCAGUUGCCAGGCAACCAGCUGUCCAAUACAUAUUUGAACACACUCUUUUUUUGUGCAGAAUAAACAAAACAAGAUCUGAGUAUUAAUCUGUGAAUUUUGGAGGUGCGGAUAGUGGGACAGGGACAGAUUUCCCCUUUCUUCCAGUGUUAAAGCUAAGCUAAGCUAUGCAAUGCUAAGCUAAGCUUAGAUAUGCAAUGGAUGCAGGCUGUGGCCUUAAUUGUAUAAGAAUAGUAAUGAUCUUUGCAUGCAAUACUUUGCAAAAA